This is an RNA transcript of Acyrthosiphon pisum (pea aphid), 943 nucleotides long. It is a transcript of the gene named zinc finger protein 511 lethal (2) k10201, with no coding region annotated. The record is from RefSeq and is a predicted model, not a curated record. NCBI's taxonomy places the organism in Eukaryota, Metazoa, Arthropoda, Insecta, Hemiptera, Aphididae. The transcript has 5 exons.
GUAUUUGUUAAUUUAUUGUUUAUGCUAUGAAAAAAACACCGGUUUUUAAUUAUUGUAAUUUCUAAUUUCUAUUUUCUAAUAAUUAAUAAUAUGAGAUCUAAGUAGAAUAACGCUAUACUUCUAAUCAUAUAAAUUAUGACGAGCAUGGAGAAACUUCAACUAUUACUUGCUCGUGGCACAGGGCAUAAGAAUUUAGUCGAUGAUCUUUUCAAAACAGUCGACGAUUCGUUAAAAGUUUAUAGACGAGUAGGAGUUUUUGAAAUUACUGAUCAAUCCAAUGAACAAAGAGGCACUGAUAAUUUUCAAUGCAAUGUGGAUGGUUGUACUUCAAGUUUCACAUCAAUGGCUGAUUACGAUUCACAUUAUAAUUCAAAUCAUCGUUACACUUGCAUUUACUGUCGAAAACUAUUACAAUCUGCACAUCUCUUAGAUUUACAUUUGAGCGAAACACAUGAUAACUUUUUUAAAGUCUCAUCUGUUAAAAAACCAAUGUUCAAAUGUUUCAUUGAAACAUGUCAAACACAGUUUUGGAAUUCCGAAGAUCGAAAUGUUCACUGUAAAGAAAUUCAUAAUAUGUCAAAGGGUUUCUUGCAGCAUUAUGGAAAUAAAAAAAAUCAGAAAAAGAACAAGAAAAUUAAAUAUACUGCACCACCAAAUUUAGAAUCAAUGGUAGAAUCAAGCAUGGUUAUAAAUUAAUUUUAAAAAAAACAUAAUUUACCAACAAUGUAUAGGCAACAGUAUUUAAAUCUUUUGGAAAACAAAGUGACAUGCUGUUUAAUGAGCUAUCUUGCCUAUAUGCUCUACCGUAGAUUGCAAUCUACUAAUGGUUACUGGAUUCUUGUUGCAUGCACUCCACCAUGUGAUUACAAUGAUUGUAUUUAAUGUACAUACUCAAUGCCUCAAAGGAUAGAACUGUGGAGGCUAAAAAUUGUAAAAAAAUAUG